RNAcentral lists this unclassified non-coding RNA (349 nucleotides) under soil metagenome. RNAcentral describes it as "partial contains 5.8S ribosomal RNA, internal transcribed spacer 2, and large subunit ribosomal RNA". The stretch from base 1 to 119 matches the Rfam family "5.8S ribosomal RNA", at positions 35 to 154 of the family's 154-position model. The record is from RNAcentral.
GAUGAAGAACGUAGUGAAAUGCGAUAAGUAAUGCGAAUUGCAGAAUCCGUGAGUCAUCGAAUCUUUGAACGCACAUUGCGCCCUCUGGUAUUCCGGAGGGCAUGCCUGUUCGAGCGUCAUUAUCACCCCUCAAGCCCGGCUUGUUGUUGGAUGCAGCGCUUAUCCCGCUCCUCCCAAAGAUAAUGACGGCGUCUGCGACGACUCCUGAACACUGAGCUUUCGGGCACGUACACGGCUAGAAGUCCAGACCCGGUCGCCGUCCCCCCCGCGGGGACACCCAUUACCACAAGGUUGACCUCGGAUCAGGUAGGAAUACCCGCUGAACUUAAGCAUAUCAAUAAGCGGAGGA